CCCAAAACAACAACACACCUAGGACCCUGUGGGAUCUUAAUCGUUCUCUGAAUAGAAGGGUGAGCUCUAUUUGCACUUUUAAAAAGCCAUCUGCGUGGAGAUAUUAUAGCAUCGUACAAACUUCUCUCUAUUUAACCUUUCACCAAUUACAUAAACCAAUUAAAUUCCUUGUAUGAUUCCCGCUACACAGCACUUCAUCAUAGGCUUAAACGAUGUUUGUGCAGCGGCAGUAAAUAGGUUUUUGUUUACUUGCGCUGCAUAUUUCGUUAGAAGUAAAUGGUAUGUAUUUUAUUCCUGAAUCUUCUUUUCAGUGGUCUAAAACUUAUUUAUGAUUUUGGAAACAGCAGGGCUAGUUCUGAGUAUUGAG
Non-coding RNA from Pelobates cultripes (western spadefoot toad), 367 nucleotides. The record is from the annotation of a GenBank genome assembly. Lineage: Eukaryota; Metazoa; Chordata; Amphibia; Anura; Pelobatidae.